UGACCUCGGAUCAGGUAGGGAUACCCGCUGAACUUAAGCAUAUCAAUAAGCGGAGGAAAAGAAACCAACAGGGAUUGCCCCAGUAACGGCGAGUGAAGCGGCAACAGCUCAAAUUUGAAAUCUGGCCCCCCCGCGGGCCCGAGUUGUAAUUUGCAGAGGAUGCUUUUGGCGCGGCGCCUUCCGAGUGCCCUGGAACGGGACGCCAUAGAGGGUGAGAGCCCCGUCUGGUCGGACGCCCAGCCUCUGUAAAGCUCCUUCGACGAGUCGAGUAGUUUGGGAAUGCUGCUCUAAACGGGAGGUAUAUGUCUUCUAAAGCUAAAUACCGGCCAGAGACCGAUAGCGCACAAGUAGAGUGAUCGAAAGAUGAAAAGCACUUUGAAAAGAGGGUUAAACAGUACGUGAAAUUGUUGAAAGGGAAGCGCUUGUGACCAGACUCGGGCGCGGCGAAUCACCCGGCGUUCUCGCCGGUGCACUUCGACGCGCCCGGGCCAGCAUCAGCUCGCCGCGGGGGACAAAGGCGCCGGGAACGUGGCUCCCCAGGGAGUGUUAUAGCCCGGCGCGCAACGCCCCGCGGCGGACUGAGGUUCGCGCGUCCGCAAGGAUGCUGGCGUAAUGGUCACCAGUGACCCGUCUUGAAACACGGACCAAGGAGUCGUCCUCGUAUGCGAGUGUUCGGGUGUCAAACCCCUACGCGCAAUGAAAGUGAACGCGGGUGAGAGCCUCGCGGCGCAUCAUCGACCGAUCCUGAUGUUCUCGGAUGGAUUUGAGUAGGAGCAUACGGGGCCGGACCCGAAAGAAGGUGAACUAUGCCUGUGUAGGGUGAAGCCAGAGGAAACUCUGGUGGAGGCUCGCAGCGGUUCUGACGUGCAAAUCGAUCGUCAAACAUGGGCAUGGGGGCGAAAGACUAAUCGAACCUUCUAGUAGCUGGUUUCCGCCGAAGUUUCCCUCAGGAUAGCAGUGUUGAUCUCAGUUUUAUGAGGUAAAGCGAAUGAUUAGGGACCCGGGGGCGCUCUUCAGCCUUCAUCCAUUCUCAAACUUUAAAUAUGUAAGAAGCCCUUGUUGCUUGGUUGAACGUGGGCAUUCGAAUGUAUCAACACUAGUGGGCCAUUUUUGGUAAGCAGAACUGGCGAUGCGGGAUGAACCGAACGCGAGGUUAAGGUGCCGGAGUGGACGCUCAUCAGACACCACAAAAGGCGUUAGUACAUCUUGACAGCAGGACGGUGGCCAUGGAAGUCGGA
RNAcentral lists this non-coding RNA (1238 nucleotides) under Ophiocordyceps sinensis CO18. Its description in RNAcentral is "Eukaryotic large subunit ribosomal RNA". It matches the Rfam family "Eukaryotic large subunit ribosomal RNA", at positions 1 to 1265 of the family's 3401-position model. The record is from Rfam by way of RNAcentral. Lineage: Eukaryota; Fungi; Ascomycota; Sordariomycetes; Hypocreales; Ophiocordycipitaceae.